Molecule: long non-coding RNA, 204 nt
Organism: Dreissena polymorpha
Lineage: Eukaryota; Metazoa; Mollusca; Bivalvia; Myida; Dreissenidae
Exons: 3
Source: RefSeq, a predicted model, not a curated record
CGCAGACGCUGCGUCGGCAUCAAGUAUAGCUGGAAACACAUCCAACGACUGUGCACAGGAUAGAAUGGUGGAUGAAAAUGCAGAUUCCUCUGCUGCCACAGAAUCGGCCUGUGUUAGCACAAAGUCUGUUGCAAAACAGAUAGUAGAAAGGGAUAUAGAGUUUCAGGCAGCCAAUCCCAGUGUUACACAAAAGUUUGAACAAAC